Molecule: unclassified non-coding RNA, 281 nt
Filed under: uncultured Rhizophagus
Lineage: Eukaryota; Fungi; Glomeromycota; Glomeromycetes; Glomerales; Glomeraceae
Description: sequence contains 5.8S rRNA gene
Rfam family: 5.8S ribosomal RNA (bases 1-53)
Source: RNAcentral
GAACGCAAAUUGCACUCUCUGGUAUUCCGGGGAGUAUGCCUGUUUGAGGGUCAGUUUAAAUAAAAAUCGAUGUGUCGCUUUUGUGACGCUUCGGAAUUGGGUCACCUUGAUCUCUGGGUUAAGAGGCCUAAAAUUGAUACCUUUCCGAGCAUCUUGGACGUACGUAACCUUUCAAGUGCCGGAUCUUUUUACUAGGUAUGACCAUGCUGUGCGUGGCCUCGUACCUAUAACGUGUACUCAUAUUUUGACCUCAAAUCAGGUAGGAACACCCGCUGAACUUA